GCCUUCGUGGUGUAAUGGGCAGCACACUCGGCGGGUAUUCGAGAGGUCCAAGGUUCGAGUCUUGACGAAGGCA
This 73-nucleotide transfer RNA is filed under the name Stegodyphus mimosarum. It matches the Rfam family "tRNA". Rfam says of the family: Transfer RNA (tRNA) molecules are approximately 80 nucleotides in length. Their secondary structure includes four short double-helical elements and three loops (D, anti-codon, and T loops). Further hydrogen bonds mediate the characteristic L-shaped molecular structure. tRNAs have two regions of fundamental functional importance: the anti-codon, which is responsible for specific mRNA codon recognition, and the 3' end, to which the tRNAs corresponding amino acid is attached (by aminoacyl-tRNA synthetases). tRNAs cope with the degeneracy of the genetic code in two manners: having more than one tRNA (with a specific anti-codon) for a particular amino acid; and 'wobble' base-pairing, i.e. permitting non-standard base-pairing at the 3rd anti-codon position. Lineage: Eukaryota; Metazoa; Arthropoda; Arachnida; Araneae; Eresidae. The record is from Rfam by way of RNAcentral.